Molecule: non-coding RNA, 2262 nt
Organism: Malus domestica (apple)
Lineage: Eukaryota; Viridiplantae; Streptophyta; Magnoliopsida; Rosales; Rosaceae
Source: RefSeq, a predicted model, not a curated record
GCUCCUGCUUCUUAAAACCAAAACCACACAAACUGGCCUCCAUUUUUGUAACUCGAGAGCUUCGGUGAGAUGAAGGAGAGGAGCAGGGAGAUGGGCUUGAGUCCGCCAACGGCGGAAGAGAUCUUCAGGUAUUAUAGUGCUCCGAGAACCAAUGUCGUCCACUCCUUAACUAGCGUUAUGCAGCUCAGACCAUCACGAUUCACCAUUGUCACCCCAUCACUGCCGUCGCGACCACCGAGGCCACAUCACCGCCGUCGAAAACACUACCAUACCAUCAUCCUGCAAAAGCUUAGAGAGAGAAAAUAUAACCAUACCUGUGUGGUUGCUCUUCAAAUUGGUGCAUUAUCAAUGAAUGGAUCACGUCAGAUCGUGUCAAAGGCUGGGCAUCCAGCUGCUUUGCCCCUCUCCAUCUGAUGUUGCCCCCUUGGCAGUUCUAUCACUACUGUGAAAGGGCUGGAGCUUUUUGGCGUCAAACUUAGUGAUGCUUCAAAGAAAUUGGGGAAAACAUUUGCUAGGUAUGAUGGAUAUUAUAUUGUUUUGUCAGUAUGCGAUGAUAGGAAAUUUCCUCAACCAAUCUCAAUCCUUUGCAGUCCUUUGGUAUCAAGGUGUUUUUUUUUUUAAUCUUGCGCGCUAUGUGCAAUUACAUAUGUGUGAGAGACUUUUUAAAUUAGAUGCACUACGUGCUUCUUACGGAUUUUAUAAUGUCAUAUUCUCAUUCGGUUGCUGUUUUAAAUUUGGGCUUUCAUUUGGUUGAGCAUCCUUCUCUCCAAAAGGUAACAUUGUUUCUAAUGCCUAAUCAAAUUUUGAUUUCUUAGGUCAUUACAAUUUAUGUAGUUUUGUGAAGAGAAAUUGUUUACAAGCGCAAACAACUGCCAAAUUUUAUUUUGAAGUCUUAAUAUGCCUAUAGAACCAUAUAAUUAUGGGAGCGAACCAGUUCGCUGAUCAAAGACGUUAAGGCUGCUCUCAUUGAUGCAAUUGGGACAUUGAGGCUAUUCAGAAGGAAUUGAGGAGGAGAGGGAAGGUUUUGGCAUCGAAAAAGUCAUCUCAGAUGGCUGCUGAGGGCUUUCUGGCUCAGGCUCAGAAUGAGAACAAGACUGCUAUUAUUGAACAUAACUGUAAGACUGACUUUGUUGCUCGAUAUAUUUCAAUACUUGGUAAGUGUGACUGAUAUCAUUCCUCCUUAUUUUUUUUUUGUUCUAUUUGAUUAGUUGCUAUUAUAAGUAUAUGGUUGCGUACUUAAUUUCAGUCGUCCUUUUUUCCCCUUAUUUCUUCUUCCUCUGCUUCGCUUUUGCUGCUGCUUCUUCUUCUUCUUCUUCCCCCUUUUGGUUCCCCCUCUCUUGCUUUAUUUCUUCUGAUAUUUUCUCUCUUUCUUGAUCUCUUCAAAAUCGCACAACAUUCUUUGUAGUUGGAGGCUUUUGCUCUGUUGGGUUUGUUUCCAAUAACUCAAAGGGCCGAAAGGUAUUCCCUUUUCAUAUUCUUCUCUCCCAAUUUCUUUAGGGUUAAUUUCAAUUUUCUUAUGCUAUUUGCAGUGGUGCUUUUUAGGGUUUAACUAUUUGAUUUCACAGAUUCAUUACAGACACAGUAAAUAGGUACAUUUUAAAUUCAUAUUUCAUAACUUGGUUGCUUGAUUCUACUGCCACUGUUCAUUGGCUUCUCCUACGAGACAACAAGGGUAUGCAGAGAUCAUAAUAGAUGGGGUUUUUAUUUUUUUUUAAUAUCUUUUACAUAAUGCUCUUAAAUUUCAACAUCUUAUUUAUAACAAUGUUGCCAAAAUGCACUUUAAUUAUCAGGUAUGUCACUAUGGAAGAACUAGAGCAAGUCCUCCACGAAUACGGCUUACAUGGUGAAUUUUAAUCUUUCCAGGUACAACCAUAUCUCACUCCCUCUGUCCAGUCGUGCAGAAGACAUCUUCAUUAACCGGUAACAGAUGAAAUAAUUUGUUGUCGAGUUUCCCGUGUAGAAAGGCGAAAAUGCUACAAGUGGAGGAUAGAUAACAACUCAAGACACAUGGUAUGAGGGUGCAGGUAAAUUGUACAUAUGCAUCUGCAAAAAGUUAACAGUUUUGUAUUCGAUUUUUUAUGUUUUUCCAGUGUAAGGCAUAUGUUGCAUAAGCAUGUAAAUGGUACAAAUUAUUUGGUUUUGGAUAGUAAACUUUGAGUUUUACAGGAAAAAUCAAGAAAAUGUGUCACUCCUCUAUUCCUUUGUUCCCUCAAGAUUAUGUUUAAUUUAUUCAAGUUAAAUGUGUCUUAUUUAUGUAGUUAA